CCUACGGGCGUCAGCAGUGGGGAAUAUUUCACAAUGGGGGAAACCCUGCUGCAGCGACGCCGCGUGAGUGAAGAAGUAAUUCGUUAUGUAAAGCUCUAUCAGCAGGGAAGAAAAUGACGGUACCUGAGUAAGAAGCCCCGGCUAACUACGUGCCAGCAGCCGCGGUAAUACGUAGGGGGCAAGCGUUAUCCGGCUUUACUGGGUGGAAAGGGAGCGUAGACGGCAGUGCAAGUCUGGAGUGAAAGGCGGGGGCUCAACCCCCGGACUGCUCUGGAAACUGUACGGCUGGAGUGCAGGAGAGGUAAGUGGAAUUCCUAGUGUAGCGGUGAAAUGCGUAGAUAUUAGGAGGAACACCAGUGGCGAAGGCGGCUUACUGGACUGUAACUGACGUUGAGGCUCGAAAGCGUGGGGAGCAAACAGGAUUAGAUACCCUGGUAGUC
RNAcentral lists this ribosomal RNA (440 nucleotides) under uncultured bacterium. RNAcentral describes it as "partial 16S ribosomal RNA". It matches the Rfam family "Bacterial small subunit ribosomal RNA", at positions 338 to 795 of the family's 1533-position model. The record is from RNAcentral.